AGGGAAACCGAGUCUUAACCGGGCGUUAAGUUGCAGGGUAUAGACCCGAAACCCGGUGAUCUAGCCAUGGGCAGGUUGAAGGUUGGGUAACACUAACUGGAGGACCGAACCGACUAAUGUUGAAAAAUUAGCGGAUGACCUGUGGCUGGGGGUGAAAGGCCAAUCAAACCGGGAGAUAGCUGGUUCUCCCCGAAAGCUAUUUAGGUAGCGCCUCGUGAAUUCAUCUCCGGGGGUAGAGCACUGUUUCGGCUAGGGGGCCAUCCCGGCUUACCAACCCGAUGCAAACUGCGAAUACCGGAGAAUGUUAUCACGGGAGACACACGGCGGGUGCUAACGUCCGUCGUGAAGAGGGAAACAACCCAGACCGCCAGCUAAGGUCCCAAAGUCAUGGUUAAGUGGGAAACGAUGUGGGAAGGCCCAGACAGCCAGGAUGUUGGCUUAGAAGCAGCCAUCAUUUAAAGAAAGCGUAAUAGCUCACUGGUCGAGUCGGCCUGCGCGGAAGAUGUAACGGGGCUAAACCAUGCACCGAAGCUGCGGCAGCGACACUGUGUGUUGUUGGGUAGGGGAGCGUU
Molecule: ribosomal RNA, 572 nt
Filed under: Salmonella enterica
Lineage: Bacteria; Pseudomonadati; Pseudomonadota; Gammaproteobacteria; Enterobacterales; Enterobacteriaceae
Description: partial 23S ribosomal RNA
Rfam family: Bacterial large subunit ribosomal RNA
Source: RNAcentral